AAAAAACCAGUUUUAUCGUUAUCUAGCGAACAGUAAGCUUAAAAAGAGAAGUAUAACUUGAGAUCCAGGCUUCCUGAUCGCCAGUGGAUAUCCUGUCGUUC
This is a long non-coding RNA of Suricata suricatta (meerkat), 101 nucleotides long. RefSeq lists it as uncharacterized. The transcript is spliced from 3 exons. Lineage: Eukaryota; Metazoa; Chordata; Mammalia; Carnivora; Herpestidae. The record is from RefSeq and is a predicted model, not a curated record.